This 154-nucleotide ribosomal RNA is filed under the name Agaricus parasubrutilescens. RNAcentral's name for it is "5.8S ribosomal RNA". It matches the Rfam family "5.8S ribosomal RNA". From Rfam's summary of the family: 5.8S ribosomal RNA (5.8S rRNA) is a component of the large subunit of the eukaryotic ribosome. The record is from RNAcentral. Lineage: Eukaryota; Fungi; Basidiomycota; Agaricomycetes; Agaricales; Agaricaceae.
AACUUUCAGCAACGGAUCUCUUGGCUCUCGCAUCGAUGAAGAACGCAGCAAAAUGCGAUAAGUAAUGUGAAUUGCAGAAUUCAGUGAAUCAUCGAAUCUUUGAACGCACCUUGCGCUCCUUGGUAUUCCGAGGAGCAUGCCUGUUUGAGUGUCA